AUCUACGGUCAUACCACCCUGAACGUGCCCAGUCUUGUUCGAUCUUGGAAACCAAGCAGGGUGGGGCCUGGUUAGUGCUUGGAUGGGAGAUCGCCAGGGAACACUGGAUGCUGUAGGCU
This 119-nucleotide ribosomal RNA is filed under the name Microcebus murinus (gray mouse lemur). Lineage: Eukaryota; Metazoa; Chordata; Mammalia; Primates; Cheirogaleidae. The record is from RNAcentral.